CUGCAUCUGCAUCUGCAUCUCCAUCUACAACUGCAUCCAUAUCUGCAUCUGCAUCUCCAUCUGCAUCUAUAACGGCAUCCACAUCUGCAUCCACAUCUGCAUCUGCAUCUCCAUCUGCAUCUAUAACGGCAUCCACAUCUGCAUCUGCAUCUACACGUACAUACAGCUGGCUUGAUGCUUUAACUCCCUCUUCCAUCCAUGAUUGCCAGUAUAGGCUCUAGCACAAGAACAAACAUUUUGGAACCAAAUUAUACUUUAAUGACCAAGGAUUGUUCUCCCUUCUCCUUCCUCCUCUGCCCUCCAAACCCCUCACGACCUCAGGCCUAAGACAGUAACUCCUAGUAGGAACUCAGUAAAUAUCAUUGAAUGAAUGAAUGUACAGGACUCAGCCUGAAGGUGGACCAGAAGGGACCACUUUCUUCCCACUCCUUUCAAGGGUAGGGCCUGAACACCCUGUCUUCUCUGUUUCACAAAGAGGAAAGUUGGGUGGAAUCAAAUGACAGGCCACCUGGGACAGAGGAUGACAAGACGGUUGGAUCUAGCUGUACAAUGUCAGAGGAACCAAAUUGUGAAGACAUCUGUUCUGUUAUUAAUUUCACAUAAAUCUUAAGCUCCUCAAGGCCAGAAAUGAGGCUUCAUUCACGUCGAAUUAAUGAAACAUGAUUGUAAGUCCCUUGCAUGGAAUGCUGUCACACAAUUCUGAGCUGCUUAUAAGCACUGAGUAAUCUCAGAAACUGCCAGGGGACAGCCACGUGAGACCUGCCCUCCCCUCCCCCUGCCCCCGAAAACAAUAUCUGAAAAUAUCACAACACUAACUAUAUCCUGAAAGAUUAAUAGCAGAUGAACAUUUCUGGGAAAUGAAUCAGACUUUCUCAGUAAAGGAUACAAAUAUCCUGGGCAAAAGCAGAUUGCACAACGUCACAGCUCUGCAGAUACAGGUUAAUAACUGGGGCCGGGCAGCCUCAUGGUACACCUCCAAGGAUGGGGUCCCUGGACGUCUCACAGAGAUGUCUUCCGGGAGGAUGCUGGAGGCAUUGUUCGACUUGUGUGCAAAGCCAGAUCCACGUGUUGGGCGUGUGAGAGAGUAUGUCCAUGCGUAUGGGUUUGCAUGCGACUAUGUGCAUGUGUAGAUGAACUUGUGUGUGUGUGUGCGUGGAGUCUGUGUGCACAUGUGUGUUGUGAGUUUGGUUUUGGGAGACUGGAACCUAAAGAAUGUAUGUGUGUGAGACUCUGUAUAUAUGAAUAUGGGUGAGUUUGUGUGUGUGACUGUGUAGGAUUGUGUGUGUGUGAGUGUGUUGUGCAUGCGCGUUUGUGUAUGUAUGGUGUGACAGUGUGUACACACAGAAUGUGUCUAUGAAUCCGUGUGUGGUGGUGCAUGUAUCUGUGUGUAGAGGAGGUGUGAGUCUGUCUGAGUGUGAGGUGUGAGUGUGCACACAGACACCCACACAGAAGGAAGCCUCUCAGGGGAGACACGAAUCGGUCGGCUGGAAACAGAUCUCCAAUAGCAGCUCGGCGUCAUCUUAUGCCCAUCUGAGCUGUUCUUGAAAGGAACUUGCUCCUGGGGUUUCGAGUGUGUGGGGCAUGGUUUUUUUUGUCAAAUAACUGAAAUUGCCAGCGGAAAGACUGCCUGGAGGGAGGCACGGAAGGGGGAGCCUGAGAUUUCUUAAUCAAACUUCCAAGUGUUAUUUUUGGUCUUCUGCUGAGCUGGGACCCAAAAAAAGAAUCUGCAUAUGGUAUUUACAUCUCAAAUCUUCAGAGUCUCAUUAGCUUUGAUAGUUAUUUAUUUAUUUAUUUAUUUGCAAAAAGGAAUUUAAAUCAAACAGAGAGGCACCAAAGCCAAACCUUUGAAUGCAGGGCGAAAUUAAUUAAAACAGGCAGCCGAAGGGAAGAGUGGAAUACAAUAGAAUUCAGAGAAAAGACAAUGAAACUAAUUAGACUCUGAUGGGAAAAAUCCUGCCUCGUGUAGUGAUCGCCCGUUGGUAAUUAAUAAGUCACAAAUAUUGAUAUUGGAAAAAAAAUGCCAGAAUUUUAACCCUUGUUUUUCUAGAAGUUUCUUUCUUCUUUUCCUUGGACCUGAUCAUCCAAACUAAGUGAAUUAUGGGAGUGGGAGUUGGUGUUUAUGAUGUUUUGGAGAAAACAGUCUAGUCUGUAACAGCAACUGUUUAGCUCUCACCAACUGUCCCUAAGAUGGUGUAGGUGGACUGAACUCAACCGACAGCAGAUGAAGACACUCAGACGUGAGGGAUGCUGACUUCCAACAGUUAACGUCAACCCAAGUGGUGGGACCAAUUUGUGUGUAUGAACAGAUACCGUCCCAGCUUCGUUUCGGCCCCGGGUUAUCUUGAAGCUUUGUUUUACCACCCGGGCUUUGUGAUCUGUGGAAAACAUUUCCAGGCACCCAGUUGAAAAACCCUUGACCAACAAUGUAAGAAAGACUUUUAGCUUUGUUUAGCAUAAGCCAGCAUCAAGGGGCCUGGCUUUCCUGUCA
This is a long non-coding RNA of Equus asinus (donkey), 2488 nucleotides long. The record is from Ensembl. NCBI's taxonomy places the organism in Eukaryota, Metazoa, Chordata, Mammalia, Perissodactyla, Equidae.